This 440-nucleotide ribosomal RNA is filed under the name uncultured bacterium. RNAcentral describes it as "partial 16S ribosomal RNA". It matches the Rfam family "Bacterial small subunit ribosomal RNA", at positions 338 to 795 of the family's 1533-position model. The record is from RNAcentral.
CCUACGGGUGGCAGCAGUGGGGGAUAUUGCACAAUGGGGGGAACCCUGAUGCAGCGACGCCGCGUGGGUGAAGAAGCGCCUCGGCGCGUAAAGCCCUGUCAGCAGGGAAGAAAAUGACGGUACCUGAAGAAGAAGCCCCGGCUAACUACGUGCCAGCAGCCGCGGUAAAACGUAGGGGGCAAGGGUUAUCCGGAUUUACUGGGUGGAAAGGGGGCGCAGACGGCGAUGCAAGCCAGGAGUGAAAGCCCGGGGCCCAACCCCGGGACUGCGCUUGGAACUGCGUGGCUGGAGUGCAGGAGGGGCAGGCGGAAUUCCUGGUGUAGCGGUGAAAUGCGUAGAUAUCAGGAGGAACACCGGUGGCGAAGGCGGCCUGCUGGACUGCAACUGACGUUGAGGCCCGAAAGCGUGGGGAGCAAACAGGAUUAGAUACCCGUGUAGUC